UGAUGACGAUGACGACGAUGAUGAAGAAUCUCGGGACUCCACAUAGUAUGUGCAAUGACAUGAUGAACUGUGGCCAAGUGAGUCAACUGUAAGCCAUCGACUGGGUACCGAGUGAAGGGAACAUACCUUUAGCUAUUUCCUCCAAGGUCUACCCCUACAUCCUAAGCUGUAGCCUGGUCAGUCUGGAAGUAGGGAGACUUGCUGUCCUCAAAAGUCAGUUCAGUGUACAACAUGGACAUGGCACCAAUCUUGAAAUCAUCCUCUACAUAGAAUUCCAGUGUGAACAAUUAAUUGGUAUCUAUGAGGUAUGACGAAAGAGAGACGAUGGAUUUGACACUGAACUCGUAAUAAACAUGUACACCCAUCAUCUUAUUCUGAUUAUUCAAGAUAGACGUGGCUGCAAUGGAGUUUUACUUGACAUGAGUUUAAUCACCUGCAAACUUUUCUGAUACCA
Long non-coding RNA from Lytechinus variegatus (green sea urchin), 454 nucleotides. RefSeq lists it as uncharacterized. Lineage: Eukaryota; Metazoa; Echinodermata; Echinoidea; Temnopleuroida; Toxopneustidae. The record is from RefSeq and is a predicted model, not a curated record. The transcript is spliced from 3 exons.